GCAUGUCGAGCUUGCUCACAGACUUAUCAUAUCCAUAACACCUGUGCACUUGUCGGAUGGCUUAGUGAAGACCGCAAGGUUGGAACUAUCCAUCUACUUUACAUAACAAUUUAGUAACAAAUGUAGUCUUAUUAUAACAUAAUAAAACUUUCAACAACGGAUCUCUUGGCUCUCGCAUCGAUGAAGAACGCAGCGAAAUGCGAUAAGUAAUGUGAAUUGCAGAAUUCAGUGAAUCAUCGAAUCUUUGAACGCACCUUGCGCUCCCUGGUAUUCCGGGGAGCAUGCCUGUUUGAGUGUCAUGAAAACCCUCAACCUUAGAUUGGUUAACACCUUUCUUUGGCUUGGAUUUGGACGUUUGCCGAUGAUAAGUCGGCUCGUCUUAAAAGUAAUAGCUGGAUCUGUCUCGCGACAUGGUUUGACUUGGCGUAAUAAGUAUUUCGCUAAGGACAUCUUCGGAUGGCCGCGUUGCAAGACUAAAGACCGCUUUCUAAUCCAUUGAUCUUCGGAUUAAUAUUCUUGACAUCUGGCCUCAAAUCAGGUAGGACUACCCGCUGAACUUAAGCAUAUCAAUAAGCGGAGGA
This 581-nucleotide ribosomal RNA is filed under the name Naganishia albidosimilis. RNAcentral describes it as "eukaryotic LSU rRNA". The stretch from base 146 to 299 matches the Rfam family "5.8S ribosomal RNA". The record is from RNAcentral. Lineage: Eukaryota; Fungi; Basidiomycota; Tremellomycetes; Filobasidiales; Filobasidiaceae.